RNAcentral lists this ribosomal RNA (1248 nucleotides) under Habrocerus capillaricornis. RNAcentral describes it as "16S ribosomal RNA". The stretch from base 1017 to 1175 matches the Rfam family "Archaeal large subunit ribosomal RNA", at positions 2542 to 2701 of the family's 2987-position model. Lineage: Eukaryota; Metazoa; Arthropoda; Insecta; Coleoptera; Staphylinidae. The record is from RNAcentral.
AAAUAUUAUUAAUUUUUUUAGAAAAAAUAAUUUGAUUUUUAAUAAUUAUUAUGAAAAAAUUUAAAGUAUUAUAGUUGAAUUGUAUAGUGAUAGAAUUACUUUAUAAAAUAAGAAGUAAAUUUAAUUUAUUGUACCUUGUGUAUCAGGGCUUAUUAAAUAAUAAUUAGAAAUUUAAUUUUCUCGAUUUUAUAAGAGUUAAUAAAAUAUAAAUUUUAUUGUAAAAUAAAUAUUUAAGAUAUUUUAUUAGAAAUGAAAUGUUAUUCGAUUAUAAAUAUAUCUAGUUUUUAAAGAAAAAAGUUUAAUUUUAUAUUUAAUAUAAAAUUAAUUAAUUUAAAAGUUAGUUUUAGUGUUAAAUUUAAAUAUUUUUUAGGAUAAGCUAAAAAAUAUAAAUUUAUAAAUUUAUAAAAAUUUAAAUAAUAUAUAGGAUUAGAAGUUUUUAGUCUAAUAUGUUAUAAUUAAUUGUUUAAUAUUAUGGAUUUUUAUAAUUUUUAAUUUUUAUAUUUAAAUAAUUUAUUGAAUAGUAAAAUAAAUGAAAUUAUGAUAAAAUUAGUAUAAUUUUAUGUAAAUUAUUUUUAGAUAAUAAAGGUUAAAUAAAGGAAUUCGGCAAAAAUAUUUUCCGCCUGUUUAUUAAAAACAUGUCUUUUUGAUUAUAAUUUAAAGUCUAACCUGCCCACUGAAUAUUAAAUGGCCGCAGUAUUUUGACUGUGCUAAGGUAGCAUAAUAAUUAGUUUUUUAAUUUAAAGCUAGUAUGAAUGGUUGGACGAGAAAAAUUCUGUCUCUGUUUAAUUUAAUUAGAAAUUAAUUUUUAAGUUAAAAAGCUUAAAUUUUUUUAAAAGACGAGAAGACCCUAUAGAGUUUUAUAUUAAAAUUUAAUGAUAUUAUUAGAAUUUUUUAUUUUAUUAAAUUAAUAAUAUUUUAUUGGGGUGAUAAAAAAAAUUAAUAAACUUUUUUUAAUUAAAACAUUUAUUUAUGAAUAAUUGAUCCAUUUUUUGAUUAUAAGAUUAAAUUACCUUAGGGAUAACAGCGUAAUUUUUUUAAAGAGUUCUUAUCGAAAAAAAAGAUUGCGACCUCGAUGUUGGAUUAAAAUUAAAAUUUGGUGUAGUAGCUAGAUAAUUAGGUCUGUUCGACCUUUAAAAUUUUACAUGAUCUGAGUUUAAACCGGUGUGAGCCAGGUUGGUUUCUAUCUUUAAUUAAUUGUUAUAUUUUAGUACGAAAGGACCAAAUAUAAGUAAUAUUUAUUUUAAAUUG